RNAcentral lists this ribosomal RNA (253 nucleotides) under uncultured bacterium. RNAcentral's name for it is "partial 16S ribosomal RNA". It matches the Rfam family "Bacterial small subunit ribosomal RNA", at positions 524 to 776 of the family's 1533-position model. The record is from RNAcentral.
GACGUAGGGGGCCAGCGUUGUUCGGAAUUACUGGGUGUAGAGGGUUCGUAGGCGGUGUGGCAAGUCGGGAGUGAAAUCUCUGGGCUCAACUCAGAGACUGCUUCCGAAACUGCUGUGCUGGAGUGUGGGAGAGGCGCGUGGAAUUGCAGGUGUAGCGGUGAAAUGCGUAGAGAUCCGGAAGAACACCGGUGGCGAAGGCGGUCUGCUGGGCAGUUGCUGACACUGAGGCGCGACAGCGUGGGGAGCGAACAGG